CGAGUUGUUUGGGAUGCACUUUCCCCCCCCGGCCGGUUGGCUCUCCGAGCUCGGUCAUUUAGAGGAAGUAAAAGUCGUAACAUGGUCUCCGUUGGUGAACCAGCGGAGGGAUCAUUACCGAGUUUUCAACUCCCAAACCCUUAUGUGAACCUACCUAUCGUUGCUUCGGCGGACUCGCCCCAGCCGGACGCGGACUGGACCAGCGGCCGCCGGGGACCAUCAAACUCUUGUAUUAUCAGCAUCUUCUGAAUACGCCGCAAGGCAAAACAAAUAAAUUAAAACUUUCAACAACGGAUCUCUUGGCUCUGGCAUCGAUGAAGAACGCAGCGAAAUGCGAUAAGUAAUGUGAAUUGCAGAAUCCAGUGAAUCAUCGAAUCUUUGAACGCACAUUGCGCCCGCCAGCAUUCUGGCGGGCAUGCCUGUUCGAGCGUCAUUUCAACCCUCGACCUCCCUUUGGGGAAGUCGGCGUUGGGGACCGGCAGCACACCGCCGGCCCUGAAAUGGAGUGGCGGCCCGUCCGCGGCGACCUCUGCGUAGUAAACCAACUCGCACCGGAACCCCGACGUGGCCACGCCGUAAAACACCCAACUUCUGAACGUUGACCUCGAAUCAGGUAGGACUACCCGCUGAACUUAAGCAUAUCAAUAAGCGGAGGAAAAGAAACCAACAGGGAUUGCCCCAGUAACGGCGAGUGAAGCGGCAACAGCUCAAAUUUGAAAUCUGGCCCUCGGGUCCGAGUUGUAAUUUGUAGAGGAUGCCUUUGGCGGAG
This 769-nucleotide ribosomal RNA is filed under the name Beauveria sp. 1 BRO-2013. RNAcentral describes it as "eukaryotic LSU rRNA". The stretch from base 280 to 433 matches the Rfam family "5.8S ribosomal RNA". Lineage: Eukaryota; Fungi; Ascomycota; Sordariomycetes; Hypocreales; Cordycipitaceae. The record is from RNAcentral.